Molecule: ribosomal RNA, 496 nt
Filed under: uncultured bacterium
Lineage: Bacteria
Description: partial 16S ribosomal RNA
Rfam family: Bacterial small subunit ribosomal RNA
Source: RNAcentral
GAUGAACGCUGGCGGCGUGCCUAAUACAUGCAAGUCGAGCGAACAGAUGAGGCGCUUGCUCCUCUGACGUUAGCGGCGGACGGGUGAGUAACACGUGGAUAACCUACCUAUAAGACUGGGAUAACUUCGGGAAACCGGAGCUAAUACCGGAUAAUAUCUUGAACCGCAUGGUUCAAUAGUGAAAGUCGGUUUUGCUGUCUCUUAUAGAUGGAUCCGCGCCGCAUUAGCUAGUUGGUAGGUAACGGCUUACCAAGGCAACGAUGCGUAGCCGACCUGAUAGGGUGAUAGGCCGCACGGGAGCUGAGACGGGGUCAUGACGACUACGAGAGGCAGCAGUAGGGUAUCGUCCGCAGUGGUCGAGAGCCUGACGGAGCGACGGCGCGUGAGUGAUGAAGGUCUUCGGAGCGUAAAACUGUGUUAUUAGGUGAGAACAAAUGUGGAAGGAACUAUGCAGGUCUUGACAGUAACUAAUCAGAAAGCCACGGCUAACUACGUG